RNAcentral lists this transfer RNA (72 nucleotides) under Marmota monax (woodchuck). Its description in RNAcentral is "tRNA.Gly". The record is from RNAcentral. Lineage: Eukaryota; Metazoa; Chordata; Mammalia; Rodentia; Sciuridae.
GGGGAUGUGGCUCCGUGGUCGAGCGCUUGCCUACCGUGUGCCAGACCCUGGGUUCCAUCCCCAGCACCUCCU